ACUCCUACGGGAGGCAGCAGUAGGGAAUCUUCGGCAAUGGACGAAAGUCUGACCGAGCAACGCCGCGUGAGUGAAGAAGGUUUUCGGAUCGUAAAGCUCUGUUGUAAGAGAAGAACGGGUGUGAGAGUGGAAAGUUCACACUGUGACGGUAUCUUACCAGAAAGGGACGGCUAACUACGUGCCAGCAGCCGCGGUAAU
Molecule: ribosomal RNA, 198 nt
Filed under: uncultured Bacillota bacterium
Lineage: Bacteria; Bacillati; Bacillota
Description: uncultured Firmicutes bacterium partial 16S ribosomal RNA
Rfam family: Bacterial small subunit ribosomal RNA
Source: RNAcentral